RNAcentral lists this long non-coding RNA (1995 nucleotides) under Fukomys damarensis (Damara mole-rat). RNAcentral's name for it is "lncRNA (ENSFDAG00000030796.1)". Lineage: Eukaryota; Metazoa; Chordata; Mammalia; Rodentia; Bathyergidae. The record is from RNAcentral.
AUGGAAAUAACUUUAUGGUAUUUUUGACUGCUUAACUUUGUAAGUCUUCCAUAUACACAAAUUCACAAGUCAAGAGAAAAAAAAACUUUAGUCUGUCAAAUGCUGUCUUCCGAUUUUGGUGAGGGCAACAUUUUUGCUGGAACUGCCUCUCUGUUGGUUCUCUGAGCUUGUUGACAUAACAUUUAACAUUUACUUAAAAGGGAAAAAGGCACUCAGAAUACAUGGAAAAAUCAAUGAAAGUCCGAGGAAAAACCAUGGUUAAUGUUUAACAUUCAUGUUGGUUAGCGGAGCCUUUUUUAACCCCUCCCCGCCUUCCUCCUUUGGACCUCCCACAUCCAGCCCACCCUCAGCUACAGCCUGGGGAUGCUUCUGAGGAGUGCCCGCCAGAUGGGCUUGCUCAGAAAUCUUCUGUGGCUCUCAGAUGCGUGAAAUCUACUUCCACAGCCUUAGCCUGCGACUCCCGCCUUCCUCAGGCCGGCCCCCACCUGCCUCUUCCUCCGUACUUUCCACUGCAUCCUGUGUCUCUGCUUUCCCCGUUCAGCUCUGCCCACCUCACCUGUGUGAGCCGAGCCUCUGAUCUAGCUGACCCCGGUCUGUUCAUGCGAUCUCCAGUUUUCGUUAAAAGCCCACUCUCUGAAGAGCCCUCCCACAUAUCAGGGGUUGGGCAUAACAAAGAGAAAUUAAUGAAGAAAGAGGAAUCUCUGCCACCAGCCCUGGGAUUUUCUGUCUCUGAUGCCUUAUUUAUUAUUUACGACUACCUCCGCUGUACUGUGAGCACCUACAGGCGUGUCUUGUCCACGUCUUUGUUCGGGACCUCAAGAACCUGGAAAGAAUCAAACCCCAGGGAACCCACCGUCCUAAGUCUGGGUCUUACUCAUCUUGAUCAAGGCAUUAUUCCCUUCUGAAUGUAGCACUUUUACAAGAAUCCAAAGGUCAUGAUCAACCUUCAGAAAGACAUUUUGUAUUUUACCACCAAAACAGUGGUACAGGCCUUACUAGACUUCUAUAAGCAGGACUUCAUUUCCUGGGAAAUCCUGAAGCAUCUCACUUUAUCUGGAAGGAGAAAGUGAAGGAAAGUAUUUGCCUUUGUGGGUUUUCAUAGCUCCUGAACAUGGCAAAUUGCUUAAUUCGUUUUUUUGUGUUUUUGUUUGUUUGUUUGUUUGUGUUUUAGCUUUGGGUGGCAAUUGAUUUUCUUUUACUGCAUGUAGAGUGCCAUCUUGUGGCCAAGAAGCAUACAGCACUCAUAUUUUCCUGUGCUCUGGGGCUGAUUUUGGGGUUUUGACAAGCUUUUGUAACUGUGCUUCUGUAAUCCCACGUUUUUCCACACUGAGGAUCAAAUACAGGGCCUCCUUCAUUUUAGGCCAGUGCCCUACCACAGAGUGUUCUAUCUCCAGCCCCUAUUAUUCCUCCUUAUUUCUGUAGUCUGGAGAAUCUCCGAGUGAAGAAACGAGAGUUAUUGGGUGAUCAUGUAUACGGUUUACUGCUAAGCCAACUCCAGUUGGCCUUCAUCUCUCGAGGAUAUACUUAUAAGCACUUAUGAUUACUGUGUUGUGUGCGUUUCCCAUCUUCUCUCUUUGCAGUGCCCCGAGAGCUGUCCCCUCUCCCAACACAGUGUUUUGUUUUUGCUUUUGAGAAAGAUCCCAUGUGAAAUUGAGGAAAUGGUAGGAGUCGUCUUUGGGAGGCGUGGGAUUGAGGGAGCUCAAGACCACUUUAGAAAGGCCCAAGCUCAAGUGGGACUUUUAAAGGAGACUUUCUGCUGGAGUCUGUGACAGCUGUAGGUGAGGGGCGGCAGGACACCGGGGUCAGGCCCUAUUGUACAGCUUUGGGGAAAAGGACAGAAUAAUAAACCUCAAAUACAGUGAGAAAAACUUCAGACGAUCCAAGCGACCAGACCACAGAAAGAAACUGAAAGACAGGAUAUUGUGAACUAAUUGCUCCCAAUAUGCACUAAAUCUUCUGUGGUGUUGAUAUCAGAACCCCACAAGCUCUUCUCAG